AGGCCUCAAGUAUGGAGC
RNAcentral lists this ribosomal RNA (18 nucleotides) under Anopheles vaneedeni. Its description in RNAcentral is "partial 28S ribosomal RNA". Lineage: Eukaryota; Metazoa; Arthropoda; Insecta; Diptera; Culicidae. The record is from RNAcentral.